Pelobates cultripes (western spadefoot toad) is the source of this 235-nucleotide non-coding RNA. NCBI's taxonomy places the organism in Eukaryota, Metazoa, Chordata, Amphibia, Anura, Pelobatidae. The record is from the annotation of a GenBank genome assembly.
ACGACUCCUGGUGGUGAUCUUGCAAUAUUGCGCAAUAAUUGAAAGGGGACAUUAGUUUCAGCGGUAAAUAAAAUUACUUUAUCACUCUUGGCAUAGACUGUGACACUUGAACCCAGACACAAUGGAAUUAACGUGAUUAAAAUACCUGAACACUUGUAAGACCUCCCAGAAUACUGGAGUGAUUUGCACAAAUCGGUAGAAUCAAUGUCUUGUAAGAUUAACUGGAAGGGUAGAG